UACGGGGGGGGCAAGCGUUGUUCGGAAUUACUGGGCGUAAAGGGCUCGUAGGCGGCCAACUAAGUCAGACGUGAAAUCCCUAGGCUCAACCUAGGAACUGCGUCUGAUACUGGAUGGCUUGAAUCCGGGAGAGGGAUGCAGAAUUCCAGGUGUAGCGGUGAAAUGCGUAGAUAUCUGGAGGAAUACCGGUGGCGAAGGCGGCAUCCUGGACCAUUACUGACGCUGAGGCGCGAAAGCUAGGGGAGCAAACGGG
Molecule: ribosomal RNA, 253 nt
Filed under: uncultured bacterium
Lineage: Bacteria
Description: partial 16S ribosomal RNA
Rfam family: Bacterial small subunit ribosomal RNA
Source: RNAcentral